GCGAGCGUGGCGGAAUUGGUAGACGCGUUGGACUUAAAAUCCAAUUCUGGUUUCAGAGUGUCGGUUCAAUUCCGACCGUUCGCACCA
Molecule: transfer RNA, 87 nt
Filed under: Flavobacteriaceae bacterium
Lineage: Bacteria; Pseudomonadati; Bacteroidota; Flavobacteriia; Flavobacteriales; Flavobacteriaceae
Also listed under: 2 other names
Description: tRNA-Leu
Rfam family: tRNA
About the family: Transfer RNA (tRNA) molecules are approximately 80 nucleotides in length. Their secondary structure includes four short double-helical elements and three loops (D, anti-codon, and T loops).
Source: RNAcentral